Molecule: long non-coding RNA, 470 nt
Organism: Grammomys surdaster
Lineage: Eukaryota; Metazoa; Chordata; Mammalia; Rodentia; Muridae
Exons: 2
Source: RefSeq, a predicted model, not a curated record
AUUGAAACAAGAUGUUUCUCAAAUACAAGAUCAGUUGGCAGUAUCUACUCAAGAGCAUUUUUUCUUUUUGUCCAAACUGAAUAAUGACGUGGACAUGCUUUGUGAUGCUUUGUAUCGUGGAGGGAAUCAGCUAUUGCUUUGUGAUCAGGAGUUAAUAGAGCACUUUCAUCAAGUUGAAUCUCAGUUGAAUAAACUAAAGCAUCUCCUUACUGAUAUUCUCGCUGAUGUGAAGACAAAAAGAAGAACUUUGACAACUGAUAAAUUGCUUCAAGUAGAAAGAGAAUUAUAUGUAUAUUUUUUUAAAGAUGAAGACUAUCUAAAAGAUGCUGUGGAAAAUUUAGAAAACCAGUUAAAGAUUAAGGCCUCGGGUCUUAAAGACUGAAGACUUCUAAAAACAGAAUCUUUACUAUGCCUGCUGUGUUUUAAAGUACUGGACUAUAUCUAAUAAACUACUUUUUUGUUUGUACUUA